UGUCAUAUGUAACACAUUAAGUUGCAAUAAGACAUGAAUUAUGUCUGAAUUAAAAAAAAAAAAUAUUAGCCAUUCAUUUUCAUUGUAUCUCUGAAGCUUAAGUUUUAUGAUCAUGUGCACAUCCAUCAUUGGCAAUCGUCCAAGCAUAUUUUCCCUUGAUGUGCACACACAUCUCCUUGUAUGCUCAAUGUUUUUGGCAUUUUGGGAAAAAAAAGUUAUCCUCGCUAGAUUGUUUUUAGGUAUGCCUUGUUACUUGCUAGCAUAUCUUUUUUUUUUCUUUUUCUUGUUGUGGAGGUGGUUUUACAGUUCCAUAGCAAGCAAUACUUCAUGCCUACGAUGCUAGUGACCUUUGCUCUCAAUUUAUUUUUUCAAUUUUUUGACACAUUUCUCAAAUCUUUUAUCAUCUAUCAUUUUCUUUUAAGCAUAUCAUCUUAUUUUCCAUUUGAUGCCAAAAUUUGGACCCUUCGCCUAUCUUUUAUUUGCUGAGAACUUCCAAACAUUUGGGUACUCACCUACUUUGAAAAUCUAAGCCCUUUCUGUCAUUUUGUUGAAACUUUAUUUUUCUACAUCAAAAUUCAUCCCAAAAGAAAUAUUUUGCAAUAAUCCAAAUACUUGAAACUACCGAACUUCCAAAAUUUCAAUCAUGAUAUAAUCAUUUCCAAAUUCAAUAUUGGCAUAACUAAUAACUACACAAUGUCUGCACGAAGAACAAGUUCUACGUGUAACUCAUGAUUGGUUUCAAGUUCUUAAAAAUGGAAAAUGUUGUUAGCUACUGGAUAUUUUCAUAGAGGGGAGACUAGUUAAAGUUGGCUUCCUUAAUUGGUCAAUGCUCCUUCGUGGUGAUAGGUUCUCGCUCGCCUAUCUCUAUUUAGUUUCCUCUACUUUUUAAACUUUGAUUUUCCUUAUUUUUUUCAACUUCUUUCUUUAAUUUCUAUUCUUCUCAGUUGAUCAACUCUUCAACAUCAAUCUUUGUUUCUCAUUGUUCAUCAUUGUCAUUUGUUUCAUGGAAAUGUAAAAAGCAUGUUUGCUGGAUUUGCUACCCAAAACAAAACAUAAAAAUACCCGUGUUGCUUGAACUUGUGUAUGAUUCUCAGAUACAGGCAUGUGUCCAAAUGAUUGACAAGUGAAAUCUCCCAAAACUAGGAUAUGUAGACCCAACAAGAUGUGUCCAAAAAUUGGAUACGAGUAUGGGGACACAUGUGUAAGUAAACAUAUAACAAAUAAUUAAAAAUAGGGAAGAUAUAGAGGUUUGAUUGAUGAGUUAAUGUGGUUAGGAGUACUUUGAACUAUUUUAAAAAUUGGUUUUAUUAGAAAUAUACGAUUUUCUUCAAAGCAAGCUAAAAGAAAAUAACUUCUGAGUUGUAACACCUUAAUACAUGGCAAAAUCCUAUCAAAUCAUGUCGCCAUGUUAUAUUAUCACCCACUUGUAACUAGUGUUGUCAAGAGGUGUUAAGACGCUCAUUAAGGCGCUCCAGGCGAGGUGACAUGACCUUUAUUAGCCUUAGUCGAUAAAUUUCAAUGAAAUGCUGCCUAGGCGAGCACCUCAUGAGUGGGCGUCGGGCAUUAAAGCGAGCACCUAAUUGAAAUACUUCCUUUUGUGUUGAAUUUUUCUUUUUUUUUUCAACUGAUUUAUGUUUUGACCAUUUUUUAAUUUACCACAAGAAACAACUUAGGGGUGUUUUUGUAAAAAACAAAGAUUAGGGUAAAAAAAAUAAAAAUUCAUUAAAAUGAGAGGCAUACAGUCAAGGAAUGACACUUGAAGAGAAACACAACCACACUUUACAUUGAACAGAGUCAAAGAACAACGACACAAGUACAUAACAAGUACGCAUAUAUGAAGAUGUAUUUGAAGAUUAUUCAAUAAUGAUGAUGAUAUUUAAGCUUGCUUUUUAAUCUAUUUGGCUACUUAUUAUUUUAAAUUAUCUUGUGAAAAAUAUAACUUUAUACAACUAUGUUAUGGUAUUUUAUAUUUUCUUUUGAUUUUCUAAUGAUCUAAUCUUAAUUGGAAAGAUAUAUAUUUUAGAUUUAUAUAAUAUAAUAUAUUUUUUUAACCUGUAGCAUAUUGCCUUGGUUCAUUCUGGCGAGCGCUUGGUCAUGCACCUAGCAUCUCAGUCAUUUUACAGGCUUGGCGCCUUUGCCUUUGAUAACAUUGCUUGUGACCAAAUCACUUCUCGGAUAAAAUGCUUGUACACAUGAUCACUGCAUUUGUCUUCUUUUCUCUCACCUUUAUGACUUCUUUCUUCAUCUUCUUCCUCCCAUCAUCUAUUUGCGUAAGAAUUUCUUAUAUUUCAUAAGUGUACUCAUGUCAGGUUGUUUCAACACUAGUGCUUAGGCAAAACCAAAGGGUCCAAGCAUCAUAGCUUCACACCGUUGCACAUUUAUACAUAAUCAUGUAGAACAAGAAUUAGCUUAUAAGUAUCAUUAAUCAGAUUACUACUUGAGUUACCUUUUGGCUCCAUGCAAUUUUUCUUUGUUUCAAUUCUUAAUGUUUAUUUGAAGUCAUCAAUUCCAACAAACUCCACUGCUUGUAUUGACGCGGUAGCUUUCUUUACAAUUCAUUUUAUUUUAUUUCAGAGAUAUUAAGGUUAUUUAAUUUAUCUAGGGUCAUGAUUUGCAUGUGACUUUUUAUAGCAUUUCAUUAGAGGUUAAGUUGUUUUACUUGGGGACUUAAACUAGGAAUCCUUUUCACAAAUAAUAUAAAUAGGCUACUAGGGUUAUUUUAUAGUUGUUCUUUGUUAAUUUAUUGAUAUAUUUAGAUUCUGGAGGUUUGUUGUGAAUCUUAAACUCUAUUACCUUGUUAAAACCUCAAUGCUAUCCUAAUUAGCCAUUAUUCUGCUGUAAUUUCUGUUGUCUACCAUUUUCCUCUUCCCACACUAUGUCAAGUUGGCAGUGAACCAAAAAGAUCCCCAAGAGUGUGUUAGGGUUUCAAUCCUUUAACCAUGGAAGGAUGUGUUGGAGUUUGUAGAUGGAGAAAUCAAGAUAGGAAAACAAUUAUGGUUGAGAUAAGUAGUUAAUUGAACGAUUGUUCCUCAUUACUGAUGCUUUGCAGCAACAAGAAUUCGUGGGAGCUAUAGUGGAGAUUCAAGGCGGCCAUGACUCUUUAGACAUAGUAGAAGGUGGUGGUGGUUGUAUGGAUGAAGAAAAAAAUUGAAUUUCUAUAGAGGAAGAGAGUUAAAGAGCAACAAGUUCUAAAAGAUGAAGAAUUAGUAGAGAAAGAAGUAGGUCUAGGUUGGGAUUCUCCCAUCAAUGUACGAUGUUAUAGUGCAAUGAUGAUUAUGAUGAUAAUUGAGCAAUCAAUGUUGACAAUAAUAGCAAUGAUGAUGUUAUCAAUGGUAACCUCAUUGAAAAGGUAGAAGUUCGCAAAGAUAUCAUGGGAGUUGCUCAACAAAGGAAAUUUGUUAAUUUACACCAUGUUUAACCUUUAUUGAUUACAAGUAUGAUAUUAUCCCAAAGGUA
Long non-coding RNA from Populus nigra (black poplar), 3456 nucleotides. RefSeq lists it as uncharacterized. NCBI's taxonomy places the organism in Eukaryota, Viridiplantae, Streptophyta, Magnoliopsida, Malpighiales, Salicaceae. The record is from RefSeq and is a predicted model, not a curated record. The transcript has 2 exons.